Long non-coding RNA from Cyprinus carpio (common carp), 643 nucleotides. RefSeq lists it as uncharacterized. NCBI's taxonomy places the organism in Eukaryota, Metazoa, Chordata, Actinopteri, Cypriniformes, Cyprinidae. The record is from RefSeq and is a predicted model, not a curated record. The transcript has 3 exons.
AUCUCCGUUAUAACUGCACAGAUGUUCAGUGUAAUAAAGAAGAUGAGAGAUUCAGAGACAGACUGAAGCUGGAUCAUCAAUCUGGUGAUCUUACGAUCACAAACACCAGCACCUCAGAUAGUGGAGUGUAUCAACUACAGACCUUCAGCAGCAGACACACUGGAAACACUUUCAAAGUUGUUGUAAAGGAUGUUGCUGCUGAAGUGAAGAGAAAGUCAGUGAAGGAGGGAGAAUCUGUCACUUUAGACACUCCUGGAGUAAAAAAUCCAAAUGAUGUGAGGACGUGGUGUUUUAAUGACUCUCUCAUCGCUGAAAUCACUGGAGAACAGACUCACAUCUGUACAGAUGUUCACUGUGAUGAGAGAUUCAGAGACAGACUGGAGCUGGAUCAUCAGACUGGAUCUGCUGACCAUCACAAACACCAGAACCACAGACUCUGGACUUUUAUAAACUAAAGAUCAAAUCCAGCAGAAACAACUACUACACUGUCACCAGCAUUAAGAGCUUCACUCUUUCUGUGACUGAUUCAGGUGUGUCUUCAGCUGUUAAGCAGGGAUAUAUGUGUCUGUUGUUGUGCUGAUGGCUGCAGCUGCAGCUGCUGCAGUGAUUUACUCACUGAAUCUCCUCAGGAGCUCCGUGAAGG